Gouania willdenowi (blunt-snouted clingfish) is the source of this 1068-nucleotide long non-coding RNA. Lineage: Eukaryota; Metazoa; Chordata; Actinopteri; Blenniiformes; Gobiesocidae. The record is from Ensembl.
AUGGGACAGGCUUUCCCCACAUCCUCAUCCAAACAAAACCUGGAUUUCGGUGAGCGUCUGAUAAAUGAAUUAGACGAUCUGAACCAAAAAAUAAUCAUGGCAAAAUCUGAUAUACUGAAGAAAUCAGAGGCUAAAGAAAGUUAUUUCAUGGCCAAGAUCAAAGAACAAGAUGACCAACUGGGUCUAUACAGAGAGAAGUUCCAGGAAAUGCAGGAACACUUUGAAGGGAAAUUAAAGGAGGCUCAGGACAAGUGCAGCUGUCUCACUGAUGAACUGCAGCUUUCCUACGACCAGUGCAGAACCCUCACCUCUGAGCUCAUGGAGAGCAAGAACCAGUCCGCUAUGCUGUCUUCACAACUGGAGUUCUAUCAGAACCAACAUAAUCUGUCCUUCCCAAACGACAUGGAGUCCAAUUACCAUGAGAACAUGUGUGUCCCCAGCACAGAGACGUCUGACCUUGUCUGGAUAACACAACAGGUGGAAAACAAUGUGUGUGUCACACAAGAUCCUUAUGUGUUCUUAACACCAGUUUAUCAAGGGCCCACUAACAGUAUGGGGGACUACUCUCAGCCCCCUCAGCAAUUGAUACCAUCAUACAAGUAUCUAGGUGACGAUACGGUCUACUAUGGUCAGCCAUAUUACCUAGACCCCAAUACUGUUUGGUUCAACAACUACGAGCCCACACCAGAUGGACAGUUCUACACAGUGAACCCAGACUUCCAGUACCUUGUGUCUGAAUUCUCCCAACCCUCUACAGAGAAGAUGGAACCGGACCACGAACUCUCCAAUGAACUGGGUCAGUGUACGGACCAGGACCAAGGACUCUUUACUGGUCUCAAUGAGAGACAGGAAGUGCGACCUACAUUCAUGUCUGAUAUGACAGAAAGCUUGGAGGAAUGUUCCAUGAAGUUUGUAGAAGUGACAGAGACGGAGGAGCAGGACGAUACUUCCUCAGUCAAAGCGGACAAGAAGCAGCUGGAGAAUCUCUCCUCAGAACAGAAGGAGAAUGAAGUCCAGGAGAAACCAAAGAAAGUAAAGCGCAGAUGGAAGCGUAAACCUAAACAUUAG